Molecule: ribosomal RNA, 637 nt
Filed under: uncultured bacterium
Lineage: Bacteria
Description: bacterial SSU rRNA
Rfam family: Bacterial small subunit ribosomal RNA
Source: RNAcentral
GCUCAACCGGGGAGGGUCAUUGGAAACUGGGGAACUUGAGUGCAGAAGAGGAGAGUGGAAUUCCACGUGUAGCGGUGAAAUGCGUAGAGAUGUGGAGGAACACCAGUGGCGGAGGCGACUCUCUGGUCUGUAACUGACGCUGAGGCGCGAAAGCGUGGGGAGCGAACAGGAUUAGAUACCCUGGUAGUCCACGCCGUAAACGAUGAGUGCUAAGUGUUAGAGGGUUUCCGCCCUUUAGUGCUGCAGCAAACGCAUUAAGCACUCCGCCUGGGGAGUACGGUCGCAAGACUGAAACUCAAAGGAAUUGACGGGGGCCCGCACAAGCGGUGGAGCAUGUGGUUUAAUUCGAAGCAACGCGAAGAACCUUACCAGGUCUUGACAUCCUCUGACAACCCUAGAGAUAGGGCUUCCCCUUCGGGGGCAGAGUGACAGGUGGUGCAUGGUUGUCGUCAGCUCGUGUCGUGAGAUGUUGGGUUAAGUCCCGCAACGAGCGCAACCCUUGAUCUUAGUUGCCAGCAUUCAGUUGGGCACUCUAAGGUGACUGCCGGUGACAAACCGGAGGAAGGUGGGGAUGACGUCAAAUCAUCAUGCCCCUUAUGACCUGGGCUACACACGUGCUACAAUGGAUGGAACAAAG